CCGCGGUAAUACGGAGGGUCCGACCGUUAUCCGAAUUUAUGGGGUUUAAAGGGUCCGCAGGCGGUCUGAUAAUUCAGGGGUGAAAUGGUGCGGCUCAACCGUAGCACUGCCCUUGAUACUGUUAGUCUUGAGUAAGGGUGGAGUGGCCGAAAUAUGUAUUGUACCGGUAAAAUGCAUAAAUAUUACAUAAAACACCGAUCGCGAAGGCAUGUCACUAACCAUUUACUGACCCUAAUGGACGAAAGCGUGGGGAGCGAACAGGAUU
Molecule: ribosomal RNA, 265 nt
Filed under: uncultured Flavobacterium sp.
Lineage: Bacteria; Pseudomonadati; Bacteroidota; Flavobacteriia; Flavobacteriales; Flavobacteriaceae
Description: partial 16S ribosomal RNA
Rfam family: Bacterial small subunit ribosomal RNA
Source: RNAcentral